GGGCUAGUGGUCUAGUUGGUUAUGACAUCGCUCUCACACGGCGAAGGUCGCCGGUUCGAAUCCGGCCUAGCCCAC
RNAcentral lists this transfer RNA (75 nucleotides) under uncultured archaeon. RNAcentral describes it as "tRNA-Val(cac)". It matches the Rfam family "tRNA". Rfam says of the family: Transfer RNA (tRNA) molecules are approximately 80 nucleotides in length. Their secondary structure includes four short double-helical elements and three loops (D, anti-codon, and T loops). Further hydrogen bonds mediate the characteristic L-shaped molecular structure. tRNAs have two regions of fundamental functional importance: the anti-codon, which is responsible for specific mRNA codon recognition, and the 3' end, to which the tRNAs corresponding amino acid is attached (by aminoacyl-tRNA synthetases). tRNAs cope with the degeneracy of the genetic code in two manners: having more than one tRNA (with a specific anti-codon) for a particular amino acid; and 'wobble' base-pairing, i.e. permitting non-standard base-pairing at the 3rd anti-codon position. The record is from RNAcentral.